Molecule: ribosomal RNA, 497 nt
Filed under: uncultured bacterium
Lineage: Bacteria
Description: partial 16S ribosomal RNA
Rfam family: Bacterial small subunit ribosomal RNA
Source: RNAcentral
GAUGAACGCUGGCGGCGUGCCUAAUACAUGCAAGUCGAGCGAACAGACGAGGAGCUUGCUCCUCUGACGUUAGCGGCGGACGGGUGAGUAACACGUGGAUAACCUACCUAUAAGACUGGGAUAACUUCGGGAAACCGGAGCUAAUACCGGAUAACAUGUUGAACCGCAUGGUUCAACAGUGAAAGACGGUUUUGCUGUCACUUAUAGAUGGAUCCGCGUGGCAUUAGCUAGUUGGUAAGGUAACGGCUUACCAAGGCAACGAUGCGUAGCCGACCUGAGAGGGUGAUCGGCCACACUGGAACUGGGACACGGUCCAGACUCCUACGGGAGGCAGCAGUAGGGAAUCUUCCGCAAUGGGCGAAAGCCUGACGGAGCAACGCCGCGUGAGUGAAGAAGGUCUUCGGAUCGUAAAACUCUGUUAUUAGGGAAGAACAAAUGUGUAAGUAACUAUGCACGUCUUGACGGUACCUAAUCAGAAAGCCACGGCUAACUACGUG